UUUUAUUCCAAUCUAUGGAGAUCCAACCGUUGGAUUAUUCUGAUUUGGAGAUAUAUUGUACACAGCACAAUGAUAUAUAUUCUGACCGUAGGGUUCAAGGAAAUAAUCAAAGGUGGAUGAGUUGUUGCUAUUUGAAUCUAUUGCUAGUCUUAGUAAAACAUUUAGGAAGCUUGAUUUAAUUACAUGUUUUGAUGAAAUUAGAAUUGUGUGGGUGUAGGGUUUAUGUAAGAUAUAAUGGUAAAAUGUGCUCUUGUUAUUAGUGUUGUUAUAGAUUAAUUGUGUUGUAAAAUGUGUUAGGGAAGUUUUGAAAUUUGGAUGAAGGGACAUUGAG
RNAcentral lists this long non-coding RNA (331 nucleotides) under Populus tremula. Its description in RNAcentral is "long non-coding RNA (PTRE_LNC000130)". The record is from RNAcentral. Lineage: Eukaryota; Viridiplantae; Streptophyta; Magnoliopsida; Malpighiales; Salicaceae.